RNAcentral lists this ribosomal RNA (484 nucleotides) under uncultured Pelotomaculum sp. Its description in RNAcentral is "bacterial SSU rRNA". It matches the Rfam family "Bacterial small subunit ribosomal RNA", at positions 897 to 1382 of the family's 1533-position model. Lineage: Bacteria; Bacillati; Bacillota; Clostridia; Eubacteriales; Desulfotomaculaceae. The record is from RNAcentral.
AAACUUAAAGGAAUUGACGGGGCCGCACAAGCGGUGAGCAUGUGGUUAAUUCGACGCAACGCGAAGGACCUUACCAGGGCUUGACAUCCCCUGACCGCGUAUGAAAGUACGUUUUCACCCUCGGGUGACAGGGAGACAGGUGGUGCAUGGUUGUCGUCAGCUCGUGUCGUGAGAUGUUGGGUUAAGUCCCGCAACGAGCGCGACCCCUACGUUUAGUUGCUAACGCGUGAAGGCGAGCACUCUAGACGAACUGCCGUUGACAAAACGGAGGAAGGUGGGGAUGACGUCAAAUCAUCAUGCCCCUUAUGUUCUGGGCUACACACGUGCUACAAUGGCCGGUACAGACGGACGCAAAGCCGCGAGGUGGAGCAAAUCCUAAAAAGCCGGUCUCAGUUCGGAUUGCAGGCUGCAAUUCGCCUGCAUGAAGUCGGAAUCGCUAGUAAUCGCAGGUCAGCAUACUGCGGUGAAUACGUUCCCGGGCCUU